UUGACCUCAAAUCAAGUAGGAUUACCCGCUGAACUUAAGCAU
RNAcentral lists this ribosomal RNA (42 nucleotides) under Zygoascus sp. RNAcentral's name for it is "partial 26S ribosomal RNA". Lineage: Eukaryota; Fungi; Ascomycota; Dipodascomycetes; Dipodascales; Trichomonascaceae. The record is from RNAcentral.